Molecule: ribosomal RNA, 82 nt
Filed under: Phocaeicola dorei
Lineage: Bacteria; Pseudomonadati; Bacteroidota; Bacteroidia; Bacteroidales; Bacteroidaceae
Source: RNAcentral
UCUUCCCAUUCCGAACAGAGAAGUUAAGCCUUGUCACGCCGAUGGUACUGCGUCACAGUGGGAGAGUAGGUAGCUGCCGUUU